UCUGGCUCGUGUCGCCUCUGCGCCUGCGCGCGCUCCCUGGCGCGCCCGUUACCGGCGGGGGGCAGCGGGGGGCUGCCGGUGCCCGGCGCUUGCGGGCCGUCCUCGCUGCCUCAGGGCAGCCUGCCCAGGCCCGGCUCUGCCUUCACAGGUCGCCUAACUGCGGCGGCUCUCGGUGCGCGCGGGGCGGGAAGCCCACCAGUCGCGAAACACCGCCGGUGCCAGCGCUCCAGCCGGCUCAAAGUAUCUUCGCUUAGGAUCCCGAGUUCACCUUUCCCACAUGACCUGGAUUUGAUCUUCCUCUGUCUUACAUCAUGGCAGCAGCAGCAGCAGCAGCGGCAGCAGCAGCAGCGGUGUGCCCUAUAUACAACGUUAGCAGGAGAAGGCUAGGCCGCUGGAGCGGGGCACCUCUCCAAGUUUUCGUGACCACAAGCGGUUCCUUGUGAUGCCCGAGCCGGCCCUCCUUUGCCAGGAGCUUCUGAACGCACAAAGGGAGCCAGUGUUGCCAAGCUCGCCCCCAGGAGCACAGCCGGAUACUGAGGAGAUCCUGCGGAAUGAAUAAGCUCGCAGACGUGACAGACCCUACAACCACAAGCUUCUCCAAGCAGCAGCUGCUCUCUCCUGCCGCAGCAGAUCCACCGCAUAGCGCUGCAAGCAGGGAAAGGAAAGGGUGCGCAGCCUGCCUGGGAUGGACUCCCCUGCACCCAGCAGAGCCACAGCCACAGAGCAAAAGAGGACAAUGAGAUGCGAGGAGAGGAAUGCAGCAGCCUUGGCUGUUCCUGCUUGGAGUCUUGUCAGUGCCAGAUGAUGCAGAACAGCCCAGCUCUGAUGCAGCAGGGAGGCAAGUGAGAAGCAGCCCAGUGCUAGGCAUAGAGUGGAGGGCACACAUACAUCUAGCCCCACUGGGAAGGUUGGGUAGCAGAGCUCAUUUCAGACCCUUCAGAUCUAGACAAAUGGUGUGUAGAUAUGGAGACCUGCAAGGUGAGAACCGAGCUCUGUGGGAAGAGAGCUGUGGCAGGAAUGCCGGCCUGGGAAGGGAGGAAGCAUAAGCAGCAGAACUCUAAGGGUUACAGGAGUUGAUGCUGAGGGGCAGGGUGGUUCUGGGGCUGAGGAAGAAGGCUGCCACAAAACAGCACCCUCAGCUGCCAAAUAAACCUCAGUUAUUCUCUCUGCAAAUCAUUGGUCUCCCCUGUACCCCCCGCUCCAACUCUUGCCAAGCAGAUGAAGCUUCCCAGCACUCCUCCCUUGGCUUAAUUCAGUCCACUUGUCUAUGGAGACCAGAGAUCCCAGAGAGGCAGCCAAACUUCAGCUUAGCCACAGCAAGAUUCAGCACCACCUAAGCCUCCCUUGGCCGUUCGUACCUCCUCACAGCCAGGUCCACUUUCUACCUGUGUAUCAGUUCAGAAAACAUGCCCUGGGGCACAUACACAGCUUCAUACUGUGUGAUAUGUAAACACACCAAUCUCAGCGAAGGAGAAAGCCAGCUCACAGGUGGCAGCAGCAGAGCAAUGUGACAAAAUGAGCCCUUUUAGGGGGCAUGGCAGCUCCCCUUGCCCUAUUAACCCCCUUCCCCUGGGGAGCUGUGUGAGGCCACAGGACUCACUGUAUUCCAGCAGGUGAAGGCAGCUGCCUUUCCUGAAGCAAAUGCUUUACUGAUACAGCAACAGCCUUUUCUCCUACUGACCCCCUGCAAGAGCACAUACUCCACACUCUGCAUCUGGCUUUUCUGCUUCCACCUCCUGGAUCAUGCUGCUUUUCCAGGCUGCAGAACCAUGUGCAUAUCCUGGUAGCAAGUCCCUACAGAAGAACAAGCUCAGUGCAUGUUUGUUUCUGUGAGUUCAACCUGCUCAUGCCUAGACAUGAGCUAGUUGAGCCAUGGUGUUCGCAUGCACCCCUCCAGCACUCAGCAGUGAACAUUAAAGCACAACAAUCAACAAGCAGCUUGCCAAGUGCAUGUGGCAUCCUAUCCAAAACAAGAGCCCUUGAGUUAUGUGAUGAACGUUUGGAGCAUGUCUAGCAAUAGAGAGCAAAGUGUUUAGCACAGCCCAGAAAACAACCUCCUGGGCCUUUUCCAUUUGUUUUGGAUGUGCAGGAUGGUGCACAGAGUGAGAAAGCCUAGGAGUACAGAAUUGUUCUUGCAAAGAAAGCACUGCAUUUGCUGGGUUCCCUACCCCAGCAUUCCACUGAUAAACAAACUACAGCACCAAACACAAAGCUUGCAGGGAGCCAGCCUGCCCCACGUGGAUCAGGCUCCCUGGACAGUCUGCAUCUGGAAAGAGGCAGUGUCUGGAAACUCAGCAGUCAUUAACCAUGGGACAACCUGGAUGGCAAGCCUGGAAGUUGCUCCUGUGUGAGCAUGGAGAUUUGUACCCAAGCCUUCUCUGUGCACAAAGCCUUGAGGGUUUCCAAGAAGUAGCUGAGCAUAGAGAUUAAAAAGGAUCAGGAGCUCAGCACUCAA
Molecule: long non-coding RNA, 2455 nt
Organism: Pogoniulus pusillus (Red-fronted tinkerbird)
Lineage: Eukaryota; Metazoa; Chordata; Aves; Piciformes; Lybiidae
Exons: 2
Source: RefSeq, a predicted model, not a curated record